Molecule: ribosomal RNA, 253 nt
Filed under: uncultured bacterium
Lineage: Bacteria
Description: partial 16S ribosomal RNA
Rfam family: Bacterial small subunit ribosomal RNA
Source: RNAcentral
UACAGAGGUCCCAAGCGUUGUUCGGAUUUACUGGGCGUAAAGGGUGCGUAGGUGGUGAGGUAAGUCUGAUGUGAAAUCUCCGAGCUUAACUCGGAAAUGGCAUUGGAAACUACCUGACUUGAGGGUUUGAGGGGGGACUGGAAUACUUGGUGUAGCAGUGAAAUGCGUAGAUAUCAAGUGGAACACCAGUGGCGAAGGCGAGUCCCUGGAAAAUACCUGACACUGAGGCACGAAAGCUAGGGGAGCAAACAGG